AUGAGAAGAGGCGCCACUGUCAAGGAACCAUUCAGGCGCCGGCGUGGAAGGGUAGCCGCCGUUGCUGUAUGCGGCGUUGAGCAUGGCAAUGUGAUCCCACGACGGAGGCGGUGGCGGGUAGUACGGGCUGGCCGGCGGGGGCGGUGUGUAGGCAUGGUACGCCUGGGCAUGGGAGCCAGGACGAGGCCCGAGGACGCCGGCGGCGUUGGGAGGGAUCCAGCCGGAGCGAGGGGACGGGAGCGCCAUCCCGUAGGGAGCAAAAUAGCCCGUGAACGGAGAGAAGGGUGGGUGCGACGGACCCCGGCCCCCGCUGUCGUUGCGUCCACGGCCACGUCCACGGCCGCGGUCACCACCAUCACCGCCGCGAUCACCGCGACCACGACCAGAGGAUGGAGGCGGCGGAUGAGGCGGCCCCUAGAGCCGAUCGGAGACGCGGUCGGAGGAGCGGUCACCACCAUGAUCACCAGCAGCGCGACCACCCGCGCCGGGGGUGCCACCGGAGGUGCUGGAGCCGGGGAUAGCAAAGGCGGACACGCUCUCCUCGGCCGCGCGCUGCGCCUGAGAUUCCUCGGCCAAGACCACCCUGGAGAGGACGGUGUCGAAGGGGAGAGUCUGAUCGCUGAGGACGACCCGAAUGGUUUCAAGCCGUUUAUCGAGUCCAUGAAGGAACUGCGUGGUGAGAUCCACCUCGGUGACCGCGUGGUCGAUGUCGGCGAGGCCGUCGGUGAGCUGCUUCAUGCGGCGCGCGUACUCGGAGAUCGAGAGGUCGCCCUGCUUGAGAUUGCGGUAUUGGCGGUUGAGGAUCAUGUAGCGGGCGGCGCGGUUGGCGAGGAAGUAGUCCUUGAUUUUGUGCCAGAGAGCGAAGGUGGUUGUGGCGCCGACGACAUGGUCGCACAUGGUGUCGGAGAGGGUGACGUAGAUCCACAGGACAACGUGGGCAUCCAGCUCGAGGUAUUGGGAGGUGGCGUUGGGGGGAGGUGGGUGCUCGAUGAGGUAGGUGACGCCGUACCGGAGAAGAACCAUGAGAAAGAAGGUUUUCCACUUGUGAUAGUUGUGACCUGCUGGGUUGAGAAGAAACUUGAUGUGGUUAGUGAUGUGGUCGUGGAAGAUGGAGGGACUAGGGGCAGAGGGCUGCGGCAUAGGCGAGGAAGUGGUGGCGGCGGUAAACAGUGGCGCAAACUGGGUGCUAGGGGCGGCGGAGGAGCUGUUGAAGAGGGACGGAGUGGUGCCGAAGGAGAACGCCGGGGAGGUGGCGGGAGAGGUGGCCGCGGAGGAGUCGGCGGCGGGCGCCGUGGAGGAGGAGGAGAGGGAGCCCGGCGAGGUCGCGGAGCUGGAGGAGCCGCCGGCGGAGGUGAAGGGUGGAGGGCCGGUCAUGGGUGCUCCUGGUGUCUGAUACCAAGUUGGAGUGAAUUACUCUCGAUUGAUUGA
RNAcentral lists this ribosomal RNA (1428 nucleotides) under Triticum aestivum (bread wheat). RNAcentral describes it as "partial small subunit ribosomal RNA". Lineage: Eukaryota; Viridiplantae; Streptophyta; Magnoliopsida; Poales; Poaceae. The record is from RNAcentral.